GUGUCAGCCGCCGCGGUAAUACAGAGGUCUCAAGCGUUGUUCGGAUUCAUUGGGCGUAAAGGGUGCGUAGGUGGCGAUGUAAGUCGGAUGUGAAAUCUCCAAGCUUAACUUGGAAACUGCAUUCGAUACUGCGUUGCUAGAGGACUGUAGAGGGCAUUGGAAUUCACGGUGUAGCAGUGAAAUGCGUAGAUAUCGUGAGGAAGACCAGUGGCGAAGGCGAAUGCCUGGGCAGUUCCUGACACUGAGGCACGAAGGCCAGGGGAGCAAACGGGAUUAGAUACCCGCGUAGUCC
Molecule: ribosomal RNA, 292 nt
Filed under: uncultured bacterium
Lineage: Bacteria
Description: partial 16S ribosomal RNA
Rfam family: Bacterial small subunit ribosomal RNA
Source: RNAcentral